GACGAACGCUGGCGGCGUGCUUAACACAUGCAAGUCGAACGGUAAGGCCCUUCGGGGUACACGAGUGGCGAACGGGUGAGUAACACGUGGGUGAUCUGCCCUGCACUUCGGGAUAAGCCUGGGAAACUGGGUCUAAUACCGGAUAGGACCACUGCCUGCAUGGGUGGUGGUGGAAAGCUUUUGCGGUGUGGGAUGGGCCCGCGGCCUAUCAGCUUGUUGGUGGGGUGAUGGCCUACCAAGGCGACGACGGGUAGCCGGCCUGAGAGGGUGACCGGCCACACUGGGACUGAGACACGGCCCAGACUCCUACGGGAGGCAGCAGUGAGGAAUUUUGCGCAAUGGACGAAAGUCUGACGCAGCAAUGCCGCGUGAAGGAUGAAGGUCUUCGGAUUGUAAACUUCUUUUUUAUGGGAAGAUUAUGACGGUACCGUAAGAAUAAGAGCCUGCUAACUACGUGCCAGCAGCCGCCGUAA
Molecule: ribosomal RNA, 473 nt
Filed under: uncultured bacterium
Lineage: Bacteria
Description: partial 16S ribosomal RNA
Rfam family: Bacterial small subunit ribosomal RNA
Source: RNAcentral